Molecule: ribosomal RNA, 236 nt
Filed under: uncultured Stenotrophomonas sp.
Lineage: Bacteria; Pseudomonadati; Pseudomonadota; Gammaproteobacteria; Lysobacterales; Lysobacteraceae
Description: partial 16S ribosomal RNA
Rfam family: Bacterial small subunit ribosomal RNA
Source: RNAcentral
UCGGAAUCUACUCUGUCGUGGGGGGAGUAACGUAGGGAAACUUACGCUAAUACCGCAUACGACCUACGGGUGAAAGCAGGGGAUCUUCGGACCUUGCGCGAUUGAAUGAGCCGAUGUCGGAUUAGCUAGUUGGCGGGGUAAAGGCCACCAAGGCGACGAUCCGUAGCUGGUCUGAGAGGAUGAUCAGCCACACUGGAACUGAGACACGGUCCAGACUCCUACGGGAGGCAGCAGCA